Molecule: non-coding RNA, 112 nt
Organism: Firmicutes bacterium CAG:466
Lineage: Bacteria; Bacillati; Bacillota
Source: Rfam
CAUAUUCUUCGGAAACGAGUGCAUCUCUACCGGCGGUAACAGCCCGCGAGCCGAAAGGCUGAUUCGUUGAAAUUACGAAGCCGACAGACAGUCUGGAUGGGAGAAGAAAUAC